AGGGGUAUAGUUCUUCGGAACUAGAGACCGGCGCACGGGUGCGUAACGCGUAUGCAAUCUACCUUUCACAGAGGGAUAGCCCAGAGAAAUUUGGAUUAAUACCUCAUAGUAUAAUGAGUUGGCAUCAACACAUUAUUAAAGUCACAACGGUGAAAGAUGAGCAUGCGUCCCAUUAGCUAGAUGGUAAGGUAACGGCUUACCAUGGCUACGAUGGGUAGGGGUCCUGAGAGGGAGAUCCCCCACACUGGUACCGAGACACGGACCAGACUCCUACGGGAGGCAGCAGUGAGGAAUAUUGGACAAUGGGCGCAAGCCUGAUCCAGCCAUGCCGCGUGCAGGAUGACGGUCCUAUGGAUUGUAAACUGCUUUUGUACAGGAAGAAACACUGGUUCGUGAACCAGCUUGACGGUACUGUAAGAAUAAGGAUCGGCUAACUCCGUGCCAGCAGCCGCGGUAAUACGGAGGAUCCAAGCGUUAUCCGGAAUCAUUGGGCUUAAAGGGUCCGUAGGCGGUUUAGUAAGUCAGUGGUGAAAGCCCAUCGCUCAACGGUGGAACGGCCAUUGAUACUGCUAAACUUGAAUUAUUAGGAAGUAACUAGAAUAUGUAGUGUAGCGGUGAAAUGCUUAGAGAUUACAUGGAAUACCAAUUGCGAAGGCAGGUUACUACUAAUGGAUUGACGCUGAUGGACGAAAGCGUGGGUAGCGAACAGGAUUAGAUACCCUGGUAGUCCACGCCGUAAACGAUGGAUACUAGCUGUUGGAAGCAAUUUCAGUGGCUAAGCGAAAGUGAUAAGUAUCCCACCUGGGGAGUACGU
This 814-nucleotide ribosomal RNA is filed under the name uncultured Bacteroidota bacterium. RNAcentral describes it as "bacterial SSU rRNA". It matches the Rfam family "Bacterial small subunit ribosomal RNA", at positions 65 to 885 of the family's 1533-position model. Lineage: Bacteria; Pseudomonadati; Bacteroidota. The record is from RNAcentral.